This 266-nucleotide ribosomal RNA is filed under the name uncultured Staphylococcus sp. Its description in RNAcentral is "partial 16S ribosomal RNA". It matches the Rfam family "Bacterial small subunit ribosomal RNA", at positions 96 to 354 of the family's 1533-position model. Lineage: Bacteria; Bacillati; Bacillota; Bacilli; Caryophanales; Staphylococcaceae. The record is from RNAcentral.
CGGCGGACGGGUGAGUAACACGUGGAUAACCUACCUAUAAGACUGGGAUAACUUCGGGAAACCGGAGCUAAUACCGGAUAAUAUAUUGAACCGCAUGGUUCAAUGGUGAAAGACGGUUUUGCUGUCACUUAUAGAUGGAUCCGCGCCGCAUUAGCUAGUUGGUAAGGUAACGGCUUACCAAGGCAACGAUGCGUAGCCGACCUGAGAGGGUGAUCGGCCACACUGGAACUGAGACACGGUCCAGACUCCUACGGGAGGCAGCAGAC